GCCCACCUGAGGUCAAUUGCCCUCUAACUGGCUCUAUCCCCUUCCCUUGGGGAAUGAAGACUGCCACGAUGCUGUCUGCUGCACACUCUGGGGUGUCCUCCAGGACCUUGCUUCAGCCAUUGUAUUCAUUGCAGAAGGCAAGUUGUUGAUGAAGAAGACGAGAAGAGUGCAUAGGACCAAGAAUUCUCAAGAGCCAGAAGGGGAUAAGUCUUCUUCUGAAACUAAAAGGAGACAUGAAUCAUGGAUACAAAUAGAAGAUGUCUUUGGAAAGAGAAAGAAGGCAGUUCACAGCAGACUUCUCUUAUUCAGUCUUGGUCAGAUGUCUCAGUCAUCUUGCUCCUCCCCUUUCAGCUUCUCUCUGUUGUUGCUGGUGCUCUCUAAAGCUUCUGUCUUAGGCCCUAUUCCUUCUGAGCUGCCAACUUCUCCUUCAUGUUUGUACCAUAUGAGAAGACUCAAAACCCGGAAAAUAUUCUAAAAUUAGUUAUGCAGGCACUCAAAAACAUAUUGAGAACACUUUCUUGCUAGUUGUUCACGGAUUCCAGAUCAUCUCAGUUUGAUUCCAUGAGCUAUGGAAAACCCCCCAAACUGAAGUUUGUAUGUACAUAAUUUCCUCUCCGUGAAUAAACUGAUCCUUGAGCCAAAGCAUCCUGGCAGACCCAUAUCAAUUUGACAUCCUGUAGACGGAUUUAGAUCUAACCACUUUUUCUCAGAACACUUCAAAGCUUCAUUUUUAAAAUAAUAGUUAUUAUAACAAAAAAUUAAUCUUAAAAUUAUGUUUUAAAAAUGUUUUAGAAGAUACUAC
Bos taurus (domestic cattle) is the source of this 802-nucleotide long non-coding RNA. NCBI's taxonomy places the organism in Eukaryota, Metazoa, Chordata, Mammalia, Artiodactyla, Bovidae. The record is from Ensembl.